CGUGCAGGUGGCUUCGUAAGUUGGACGUUAAAUCUCUCGGCCUAACCGGGAGGCGUCGUUCAAUACUGCAGAGCUGGAGGGCAGAAGAGGGGGGUGGAAUUGCUGGUGUAGUGGUGAAAUGCGUAGAUAUCAGCAGGAACACCUGUGGCGAAAGCGGCCCCCUGGUCUGCUCCUGACACUCAGACGCGAAAGCUAGGGGAGUGAAC
Molecule: ribosomal RNA, 206 nt
Filed under: uncultured bacterium
Lineage: Bacteria
Description: partial 16S ribosomal RNA
Rfam family: Bacterial small subunit ribosomal RNA
Source: RNAcentral